Non-coding RNA from Pelobates cultripes (western spadefoot toad), 237 nucleotides. The record is from the annotation of a GenBank genome assembly. NCBI's taxonomy places the organism in Eukaryota, Metazoa, Chordata, Amphibia, Anura, Pelobatidae.
UUUAGCUUGUCGCCCCUUAGUCCACUUAAAAGGAAUUAAAACUUACCUUAUUUCCUGCCCCGAUCGACCUCCUUGAUCAGAAUUAAAAUAUUUUAGCCAAUCUAAUGCUUUUCCAUAGGGAAAGCACUGAAUUGACUGUAAUUGGCAAGGAGGUGGGACGGGGCAAGGCCAAACAGCACCUCCCCAUAGAGAUGCAUUGAAUCAAUGCAUCUCAAUGAGGAAAAUUCAGCGUCUCCU